GAUGAACGCUGGCGGCGUGCCUAAUACAUGCAAGUCGAGCGAACGGACGAGAAGCUUGCGUCUCUGAUGUUAGCGGUGGACGGGUGAGUAACACGUGGAUAACCUACCUAUAAGACUGGGAUAACUUCGGGACACCGGAGCUAAUACCGGAGGAUAUUUUGAACCGCAGGGUUCAAAAGUGAAAGACGGUCGUGCUGUCACUUAUAGAUGGAUCCGCGCUGCAUUAGCUAGUUGGUAAGGUAACGGCUUACCAAGGCAAGGAUGCAUAGCCGACCUGAGAGGGUGAUCGGCCACACUGGAACUGAGACACGGUCCAGACUCCUACGGGAGGCAGCAGUAGGGAAUCGUCCGCAAUGGGCGAAAGCCUGACGGAGCAACGCCGCGUGAGUGAUGAAGGUCUUCGGAUCGUAAAACUCUGUUAUUGGGGAAGAACAUAUGUGUAAGUAACUGUGCACAUCGUGACGGUACCUAAUCAGAAAGCCACGGCUAACUACGUG
This 497-nucleotide ribosomal RNA is filed under the name uncultured bacterium. RNAcentral describes it as "partial 16S ribosomal RNA". It matches the Rfam family "Bacterial small subunit ribosomal RNA", at positions 28 to 507 of the family's 1533-position model. The record is from RNAcentral.